Molecule: RNA transcript, 1796 nt
Organism: Manihot esculenta (cassava)
Lineage: Eukaryota; Viridiplantae; Streptophyta; Magnoliopsida; Malpighiales; Euphorbiaceae
Gene name: G2/mitotic-specific cyclin-2
Exons: 11
Source: RefSeq, a predicted model, not a curated record
CAUUUCAGUAGCCGUUGGAUUUGAAAAAAGGGCUGUUUUCCCUAUGCCGUUGUUUAACUUGCACUUUUAUUUCUCCUCUGUCUGGGUUUUGUAGAUUCACUUGUCUUAAAUGCACUUUACUCAAAGUUCAGAUCUUUAAGAUACUGGGUUCUUCAAGGAGGAGGAGGAAGAGGGCGUGAUUGUUCCUUCAGAUUUUUGGUUUUUUCAUUUUGGGUUGAGAAAAUGAAUGUAUCUGAUGAGAACAAUCCUAACAUUGCCAAACCCACACUUUUUCAAGGAGAGCUUCGGAUGGGUAACAGAAAGUUUGGACAGGAGAUUAGACACAACAGAAGAGUUCUAAAUGUUUUAAAUCAGAAAUUUAUUGGGGCACAAGCAUAUCCUUGUGUUGUUAGCAAGAGACGCCUGUCAGAAAAUCUUGGAGUCUCUGAAAGAAACCAGCUAGAUCCUGUGCAUCGACCGAUUACAAGGAAGUUUGCUGCACAAUUGUCAAGUACACAUCAGCAUUGUCCACAGCAGGAGACAAAGAGGCAGAAACCAUCAGCUCCAAGCGCAAAUGGGUUUGGAGACUGUAUAUUCAUAGAUGUUGAAGAAGAAAAUAAGGCACCUGCAGAUCAUGCAGAACCAAUGUUUUUAGAACAAACAGAAGCAGUCCUUGAUGAGAUGGAGGAGGUUGAAAUGGAGGAUAUAAUUGAAGAGCCCAUCUUGGAUAUUGAUGGCUGUGAUGCAAAGAAUCCUCUUGCUGUUGUUGAUUAUGUUGAAGACAUGUAUGCCUACUACAGAAAAAAGGAGAGUUUUAGCUGUGUCUCCCCAAACUACAUGGAACAACAGUUCGACAUCAAUGAGAAGAUGAGAGCUAUACUAAUAGACUGGCUUAUUGAGGUGCAUGACAAGUUUGAACUCAUGAACGAGACAUUAUUUCUUACAGUUAAUCUUAUAGAUAGGUUUCUAUCACAGCAAACAGUGGUAAGAAAGAAGCUUCAAUUGGUUGGAUUGGUUGCCCUGCUAUUAGCAUGCAAGUACGAGGAAGUUUCUGUUCCAGUAGUGGGAGAUCUAAUUCUUAUAUCAGAUAAGGCUUACAACAGGAAAGAAAUUCUAGAAAUGGAAAAUUUGAUGCUCAACAGAUUACAGUUCAAUAUGUCAGUUCCAACUCCAUAUGUUUUCAUGCAAAGGUUCCUCAAGGCUGCUCAAUGUGAUAAGAAGUAAUCUGUGUGCUGAAAACAGAUUGAGCUGUUGUCCUUUUUCUUGAUUGAGCUUUCUAUUGUGGAGUAUGAAAUGCUCAAGUUCCCACCAUCUCUGCUGGCGGCUGCAGCAAUCUAUACUGCUCAGUGCACAAUCUAUGGAUUCAAGCAGUGGAGUAGGACCUGUGAGUGUCACAGCAGCUAUUCAGAAGAUCAACUUUUAGAAUGUUCAAGACUAAUGGUUGGUUUCCACCAGAAAGCUGGGACAGGGAAACUCAGUGGAGUACACAGGAAAUACAAUACAUCAAAGUUUGGGUAUACUUCAAAAUGUGAAGCAGCACAUUUUCUAUUAGAGAAUAAAGAAUAGCUGGGAAAUUGUGUACAGCUACUACUGACUAUUACUUGAUUUGGGGUUACACAAUAAUCAGCAGCAACUUCUGUUGCAACUCACUGGGAAUUGAUAUUGUGAAUUUUUCAUGUAUUGGCUGUUUAAUACCUUACAGCCAUAGUUGAUGCUACGUUCCAUUUGAACAUAACAUCUUCACUGUAAUUUUCCUGUUUUUGAUGUUCCAUUGAAAACAAUAAUUUUAUCACAUAUCAUAUGCUUCUUUUCCCCUA